This 113-nucleotide ribosomal RNA is filed under the name Dunaliella tertiolecta. Its description in RNAcentral is "partial Eukaryotic large subunit ribosomal RNA". Lineage: Eukaryota; Viridiplantae; Chlorophyta; Chlorophyceae; Chlamydomonadales; Dunaliellaceae. The record is from RNAcentral.
CUGCUGCCGAGGAAACGAGCGCAGGACUGCAGGCUGGGAAGCACGACUCUGUUAGACCUCUGACUCAAGUGGUGUGCAUUGUGCAGAAGCCAGAGGAGGUUGGAGGUGCAGUG